This is a long non-coding RNA of Patella vulgata (common limpet), 2125 nucleotides long. RefSeq lists it as uncharacterized. Lineage: Eukaryota; Metazoa; Mollusca; Gastropoda; Patellidae. The record is from RefSeq and is a predicted model, not a curated record. The transcript has 9 exons.
CGACCAAUUUACGGCAGCAAUGGCUGACAUUUUCGUUUGCCUGCGCGCGUACGUACCGCAUCUAAUACAAUACUUCAAAUGCAACACAACCUGGAACUUUAAUUUCAAGAUCGGAAUAUGUCUCCACGAUUCUGACUUACAUGGAACACUCUCUCGAAUAAAUGUAAAAGCCGAUUUACGGAAUCACGGGAGAAAAAAAUCGCGUACAUUGGAGAGGAUAAUCGCCAUGGGGGGCAUGAUUAAAUCGAUACCGUACCAAUUUUUUGUCGUUAUGCAAAACUCACUUUUUACGCCCCCCCCCCCCUCUCUGUAUUCCUAAUGUAGAAAUACUAUAGAAUCUUAAAUGAAACAAUAUUGACAAAAACUCUCAUAAUGAGGAACGCACGUACGUCACAAGGAAUCAAGAUAUUUUUAAAAUCAUGCUAACACUAACACAGACAGCUAAGUUAAAACAAAAGAAAAGUGGCAGUGGUAGGCCUACUGCCAGUAGUACUACAGUGGAAUGAUCCAUUUCUACUGCCUGGAAUAUUUAUUUUAUUUGGGAAAGGAUAAUUCCAGAAGAUUGUGCGGCAGUUGUAGUGAAGAAUGUUUAAUUGAACAGGCUUUGAAAAAUGGAAACUACUUUCUCUACUUGCCUUUAAAACAGCAAUUGGUUGAAUUACUCAACGAUGCAAGAUUAUGAACAUUUAACAGGACGUGAUGUGCAGUCUUUGUAGCAGAUAAACAGUGCAGAUGAAAUUCUCUGCUCAAAACUUGACAAAAAUUUGAUAAAACAACAUAAUUUGUGUGGUAAUGAUAUAACAAUAACAUUCAUUACUGACAGUGACAGAGUUCCUCUAUUUAAGUCAUCUGGAUUUCACAUGAGAAAGAAACAAUGUCGAAAUAUGUGAAAUUUUCAAGAGGAGAGUGGAUCUUUUCGAACUUUUAGGCGUUAGGGCUCGACGUAGCGAGCAACGGGAUGACAAUUUCAGAACCAGUAGCAAAAUGGAUUCAGUCAAAGUAGCAGUAAGAAUUAGACCAUUGCUACAAAAAGAAAGACAAAAUUGAAGAAUUUGUAUGUGGAACGCACGACAAAAAAAAGUAUAUCAGAGGGGCGAAACUUCACCGCUGUAUACGUUUGACUGUGUGUAUGAUGACAAUGCAACCACAUAUGAAAUAAACGAUGAGAUUAGUUCACCCAUUGUGCAAGCUGCCAUGACCAGUUUCCACGGAACGGUAUUUGCAUAUGGACAAAGUGGUUCCGGUAAAACAUACUCAAUGUCAGGUGACAACAUGUCUCCAGGACUUAUUGCCUUAGCAAUAGAUGAAAUAUUUGAGUACAUUAAUGAAGCACCAAACAAACAAUUUUUACUAAGAAUCACAUAUAUGGAGAUCUACAACGAAAAAAUAUUUGAUCUUCUGUCUAGUGAGGACAAAGUAAUCAAGAUACAAGAAAAUACAAAAAAAUUACGAAGAGAAACUUGGUGUGGACCCAAAUUAAGGAGACAAAGUCAUUAGAUGUGUUUGGAUGAAGUUUGAAAAUAGUGUGAUGGUCAUUUGAGCAGAAUUUCUUGAAGAUAUUUGUCAAUAAAGAUUUGGGUUGAGGAAGAUGGCUGAGCACAAAAUGAAAAAAAAAGUACACUGUAAUAUUUAUAUACGCAGUUAUUCGCCUUGCUAAAACAGAGGGGAGUUAUAUAUUGUCCAAUCGACGUUGUCUAAUCCACCAACCAAAACGCAAGAUUCACAAGCAUGUUACAAUGCUGUGUCGAUACUGUUUUUAUCCCCCGUCUCGGAAGUGGUGUUUGGUAACUAUGUUUUUAGGACAAUUGUGAUACUUAAGUGAAUGGUGAACUUUGUGUCGUAAGGAGACGACUGUGAUUAACUUUAUAGUGAAUUUUAAAGUGAACCUUAAUUUCGUGAAAACCCAUGCUUUCUAACAUGGCGGAUCUCCAUAGACAUCAUGAACUCUGUGAACCGUGAACUCUGUGAACCAUGAACUCUGUGAACUGUGAAUUCCGUGACUUGUGAACUCUAAUUAUUGAAUUAGAACUGUCAACAAAGAAAGCUGUCAACUUGUUUAUGUUUAUACUGUAACUCCUGUUUCUUGUAUAUGUUUAUUUACAUAAAUAUUCAUUAAUAUUUCAAA